Molecule: ribosomal RNA, 253 nt
Filed under: uncultured bacterium
Lineage: Bacteria
Description: partial 16S ribosomal RNA
Rfam family: Bacterial small subunit ribosomal RNA
Source: RNAcentral
UACGAAGGGUGCAAGCGUUACUCGGAAUUACUGGGCGUAAAGCGUGCGUAGGUGGUUUGUUAAGUCUGUUGUGAAAGCCCCGGGCUCAACCUGGGAAUGGCAAUGGAUACUGGCAAGCUAGAGUGCGGUAGAGGGUAGUGGAAUUCCCGGUGUAGCGGUGAAAUGCGUAGAUAUCGGAAGGAACAUCAGUGGCGAAAGCGACUUCCUGGACCAGUACCGACGUUCAGGCACGAAAGCGUGGGGAGCAAACAGG